Molecule: long non-coding RNA, 850 nt
Organism: Trifolium pratense (red clover)
Lineage: Eukaryota; Viridiplantae; Streptophyta; Magnoliopsida; Fabales; Fabaceae
Exons: 2
Source: RefSeq, a predicted model, not a curated record
UUCUGGAGAACUCUUCCGUAUCUCUUCCUCACUCUCUCUCAGAACCUAUCUCUUCCUCACUCUCAAAACCACAAAUCCCAAAUUUUCUCUUCUCUAUCUCCUUCCUCACUCUCUCAGAACCAACUCUGCUAUUUAUCUGAAUCAUCUCAUUCUCACCCACUCACACAAACACCCAAAGAAACACAAAACCUAGAAUUAGAAAUCAAAUUUCCAAAUAACACCCAAAAAGCCAGAAAUAGGAAAGAACAGACUUGAAUAAGUAGUUAACAAUAACAAUAUCAUACCUUGAGAGAUAUCACAUAGCAUAUGAGACCGAUUGGAAAGAGGAAAGGAAGGGAGGACACAAUCAGAGGAACGAUAAAAUUGCAACUCUUCACAGCAGCACCAAGUCUAUGAUUUACAGGAAAAGGAGAUUCUAAAAUGAAUUGAAUUGACUUAAAGGAAAAAAAUUAUUGACAUAUUGUGUUUGACCAAAGUGGAGUACUCUAUUUUAAUAUCAUGGCCAAAUUAAAAGGAAUGAUGGGUUAUAGGCUGGUUGACCCGAUCCAAAAAGAAGGUGGUCUAAUUCAUUGGUAUUGAGUGGCGCACUGUUGAAGGAGAUUUCACGCACACCCAAGAGGAGGAGAACGACACAUGGACAGAGAGGGAUGCUGCCUCAUGCAAUUGGAACAAUAGCAUAUUUGAAGGAUUUGCUUCAGGGUUAAUUCUUCUUUUGUAUGUUUAUUUAUUUAUUUAUAUGAACAUGAGUAGCUAAACUCUAGAUUAAUCCUUAGGGGAUUCUUAUUAUUAUUUCUCUUGAACUAUGUGAUUAUCAUAUGUUAUGAUUAAUGAAUUACGAAGUUAGUUUCUU